Macrobrachium nipponense is the source of this 874-nucleotide long non-coding RNA. RefSeq lists it as uncharacterized. The transcript is spliced from 3 exons. The record is from RefSeq and is a predicted model, not a curated record. Lineage: Eukaryota; Metazoa; Arthropoda; Malacostraca; Decapoda; Palaemonidae.
UUAGCCACGCCCCCAUCAACCUGUGAUCCACCCAUAGUCGUCACCCCUCUCUCGCGCCCAAGUUUUCGAGCGGGCUGGCUACUAGCUAUAGCUUCGUUGGGGCUUGUGGCUGUCUGUGCUGUUGUGCCCUGCUGCUGCUGCUGCUGCUGGUCUGGUAGUCGUAUUAGACGCACGCGCGCCCAGGGACCCACCACCUCCGGAAUAAUAAUAAUAUAUGUCCCAGGGAAUCCUCCGGGCCGUUGUGAGGGGCGUCGUCGCCUUUUGAGGAGAAGGGAGAAGAAGAAGAAGAAGAAGAAGCUCUCCUACUCCAUACAGAACCGACCUGCUGCGGAUUUUUCUGAGUUAGUCCCUUUUCCCGAAACGACGAAGAGGAGGAGGAGGCCCCUAUUUUGGUGGUCUUGCGUAUAAUCGAACGCGCGCGCGUGUUUGCGUGCGUGUGUGUGUGUGUGUGUGUGCUAGCCCGCGCGGGAGAUAGAAAGAGAGAGAGUGAAAGAGAGAAAGAGAGAGAGUUAAGAGUUAGAGAGAGAGAGAGAGAGUAUAGUGUCGGGGGAGCUGCUGCGAAGGUGUAUACGUAUACCAACGCCGUCGAAGUCCUCCCUCUCGUCCGCAGCCAGCCAGCCAAGCUAUACAGCAGAAGCAGUUUACAGUCGGCGUCUAUAACAACUUGACAUAGGAUCUUCGUUGACAUACAUACACCAUGAGGGAUGCUUAAAAUCACCAGGACCAUAAUAGGUCCCUCACUACAGCUUCCGCCCCAAUUUGCUCUUUUGGGAGCGAAGGCUGGUGUGGAGAGACGCUCCAACCCUCUCCUAGAGGAGGAAGUGAAACCAAUCUUUAGCGAGAGAGAUGGCCUCCUGGAGCGUGAUGCUGGAAG